GACGAACGCUGGCGGCGUGCCUAAUACAUGCAAGUAGAACGCUGAAGCUUGGUGCUUGCACCGAGCGGAUGAGUUGCGAACAGGUGAGUAACGCGUAGGUAACCUGCAUGGUAGCGGGGGAUAACUAUUGGAAACGAUAGCUAAUACCGCAUAAGAGUAGAUAUCGCAUGAUAUGUGCUUAAAAGGUGCAAUUGCACCACUACCAGAUGGACCUGCGUUGUAUUAGCUAGUUGGUGAGGUAACGGCUCACCAAGGCGACGAUACAUAGCCGACCUGAGAGGGUGAUCGGCCACACUGGGACUGAGACACGGCCCAGACUCCUACGGGAGGCAGCAGUAGGGAAUCUUCGGCAAUGGACGGAAGUCUGACCGAGCAACGCCGCGUGAGUGAAGAAGGUUUUCGGAUCGUAAAGCUCUGUUGUAAGAGAAGAACGAGUGUGAGAGUGGAAAGUUCACACUGUGACGGUAUCUUACCAGAAAGGGACGGCUAACUACGUGCCAGCAGCCGCGGUAAUACGUAGGUCCCGAGCGUUGUCCGGAUUUAUUGGGCGUAAAGCGAGCGCAGGCGGUUAGAUAAGUCUGAAGUUAAAGGCUGUGGCUUAACCAUAGUACGCUUUGGAAACUGUUUAACUUGAGUGCAAGAGGGGAGAGUGGAAUUCCAUGUGUAGCGGUGAAAUGCGUAGAUAUAUGGAGGAACACCGGUGGCGAAAGCGGCUCUCUGGCUUGUAACUGACGCUGAGGCUCGAAAGCGUGGGGAGCAAACAGG
Molecule: ribosomal RNA, 765 nt
Filed under: uncultured Streptococcus sp.
Lineage: Bacteria; Bacillati; Bacillota; Bacilli; Lactobacillales; Streptococcaceae
Description: bacterial SSU rRNA
Rfam family: Bacterial small subunit ribosomal RNA
Source: RNAcentral